RNAcentral lists this ribosomal RNA (253 nucleotides) under uncultured bacterium. RNAcentral describes it as "partial 16S ribosomal RNA". It matches the Rfam family "Bacterial small subunit ribosomal RNA", at positions 524 to 776 of the family's 1533-position model. The record is from RNAcentral.
UACGGGGGGGGCAAGCGUUGCUCGGAAUUACUGGGCGUAAAGGGCGCGUAGGCGGAUAUCUAAGUUGGGGGUGAAAUCCCGGAGCUCAACUUCGGAACUGCCUUUGAUACAGCACGUCUUGAGUCCGAUAGAGGUGGGUGGAAUUCCUAGUGUAGAGGUGAAAUUCGUAGAUAUUAGGAAGAACACCGGUGGCGAAGGCGGCCCACUGGAUCGGUACUGACGCUGAGGUGCGAAAGCGUGGGGAGCAAACAGG